GACGAACGCUGGCGGCGUGCUUAACACAUGCAAGUCGAACGGAAAGGCCCUGCUUUUGUGGGGUGCUCGAGUGGCGAACGGGUGAGUAACACGUGAGUAACCUGCCCUUGACUUUGGGAUAACUUCAGGAAACUGGGGCUAAUACCGGAUAGGAGCUCCUGCUGCAUGGUGGGGGUUGGAAAGUUUCGGCGGUUGGGGAUGGACUCGCGGCUUAUCAGCUUGUUGGUGGGGUAGUGGCUUACCAAGGCUUUGACGGGUAGCCGGCCUGAGAGGGUGACCGGCCACAUGGGGACUGCGAUACGGCCCAGACUCCUACGGGAGGCAGCAGUGGGGAAUAUGGCACAAUGGGCGGAAGCCUGAUGCAGCAACGCCGCGUGCGGGAUGACGGCCUUCGGGUUGUAAACCGCUUUCGCCUGUGACGAAGCGUGAGUGACGGUAAUGGGUAAAGAAGCACCGGCUAACUACGUG
This 468-nucleotide ribosomal RNA is filed under the name uncultured bacterium. Its description in RNAcentral is "partial 16S ribosomal RNA". It matches the Rfam family "Bacterial small subunit ribosomal RNA", at positions 28 to 507 of the family's 1533-position model. The record is from RNAcentral.